UUGCUAAGUCAUUAGUAAGCGGGAGAUGCAUGGAAAACUAUUAGACCAAUAUCAGUACAAUAAGCUAAGCCAAGCAUGAGCUCGAAACUCAUUCAUUCCUUGCCUUCCCUAUACUUCAAACUCCCUGACCCAUUUCCAUCGGUAUAAAAAAAAGAGAAAGAAAAUAGAACCAAACCCUUGAUCCCUUUCAUCCGACCCAAAAAGAAAGAAACCAAAAACAAUAAGUUCAUCAAUUCUUAUUAAAACCCCAUCAAAUUCAUUAACAGCUAAGGUUCAAACUGAAAUCAAGGAGAAUUAGAGAAAAGUAUUGUUGAAGAAAUGAUUCAAAUUAAUCCAAAAACAAGCUUGGAACAAGGUAUAAGCUAAUAUAUCAAGCAUCGAGAGAGGUAAGUUACACUUGCUAAAUUCAUGAAAACUAAAGUAAAUAAUAAUUGAAUAUUUGUGUGAUUGUUGUGGGAGAUUGUGUAAUGAAUGAAUCAGGAGGAUUUUGGAGUAAUAAGGAUGGACAUUAAAUUGGGAAUUGCAUGUUAAACAUGUUAAAACUAACAUGAAACCUGAGUUUUUAAACCGUGUACGCUAGGUGUUUGUUAAAAUGCAUAUGUAAAGACUAUGUUUAUUUCAAAGCCAAAAGAGUCUGUCGAGCUAGUGUAAAACUCAAAGUCCCACAUUGAAUAUGAUGUUAAACCUUAUCCUUAUUUAUAUCAAGUGUUAGCACUUAGUUGAGUUGCGUCAUGGGUUGGAAAGGAGGUGGUCUCUCGUCCACAUGAGUCUGCAUUGAGAGUUUCUCUAGCUUCAUGGGGUAAUUACUUUUAUGACCAUUCUUACUUGUUAAUAAUUCAGGACAUCAUCUCUUGCAAAUUGUCUUAACAUUUUCUGCUUUUUGAAUACGGUCUUUUCAAAGAAGUUAUAUGACUAAUUGUUCAACUUGACAUACACCUUGGAAAAGGGAUAGUCUCAUCAUCAUAUCAAUUACAAACUGAUAAAUUGACAAUGUAUUGCUACGUACUUUGUCUUCUCACGCUACAGAAUUAGAAACAAAUUAUUAGCUGGGAUAUUUAAAGAAAGGAUACCAGUAUAAUUUAUGUGAUCUUAUCGGAUUCUUGAAGUAAAUUUUAACAGGAGCUGAACAAUGAGAUGGACGACCCUGGAUUAACAUAUAUUACCUAGUCUAGUACAUGACCCUUAAUGUUUAGGCUCAUGUUCCUUGGUUUAAGGAUAAAAGUUUCAAAAGGACAAUGCCUUUUGAAUAUGGGUCCCUGAAAGAUAGGAAAGAGAAAACUUAUCAAGAAAGAAAGAACACGAGGAAAAAUAGAAGAAAAAGAGUAAAAAAAACACAACUAUGUCAAUCAGAUGAGAAAAUGCAGUUUUAGUAACACUAUUCCCUUGGGUUAGCUUUGUUCUUAGAUACAAUAAGAGCAAAAUUACAUCAACAUACAUUUACACAAACAAAAAAGUAAAGUAAGAACCUUGAAACCUUAAUGCAAACUUAGUUUGGGGGCAAACUUAGUUUGGGGAAAUUUGCAAUAAUAUUGGAUUUUACCCAAAUAGAACUUUAUGCAAUUGACCAUUUUUAGUUGUUAGAACUUCUAUGCUUUUUGCCUACAUAUAAUAUCUUAAAAUUUUCUAAAUACUAUGCAUAUCUAUUUGCAUUCUCUAUGGCCUAUUUGGUGGAGAAUCUUAAGUGGAACUACAUCUCCUAUAAACUGGUAUGUCAAUCCUUGGAAUUCUUUGAAGGAGAAAAGUUAUGUGUUUGGUAUUAACAAUUAAAAAAAUUGCCACAAGUGGCCUAUAUAUUCUACUGCACAUAAUGAUUACUGACUAGUAGUCAUUAUGGAAGAAGGAUCUACCACUCAGUACUUACCAAUGAUCUAGGGCUUCAAUAGUUAUUAGGUUUGAAUUCCACAUGUACUGAUCAGUAUUUGUUGUGUGACACUACUUUCUAUGGUAAUAUGUUUCUUUCAUUUUUUUCUAUUCUCCUAUCCAAGAGAUUGAUGAUAGAGUGAGAUAUUCAAUAAAAAUAUAUGGCUAUUUGUAGAACUUGCUGAAUAUUUGAUGAGGUAUAGAAAUGAAAAUAUAUGGCUAUUUUUUUCAUCUCUCACUUUUUAUGGUCCAUGUAAUAACUGUUUCGUCACAUGCACUAAUGAGUUUGAGACUUGAGAGUGAUUUGUGACCAUCAAGCUGUCCUCCUGGACACAAUUUUUCUGUGUUUGAACUUUUUGUCUUGCGUUAUCAAUUAUUUUGUUUUAGAAGUUACUCAUUUCAUGUUGUGGCAAUAGACUAUAAGAUAAGGAAAACAUCAUGGUAGGCAGGGGUGUGUCUUAAAUUCUCAAUCCCCCUACUCUGAAGAUGAAUUUUUCAAGUGAUAUGCGCAUCAUUUUGAAAUCAUUCAAUUAUUAGUCCAACUCCAGCAUAACAAAUCAGUCAAACAAAGUACUUACCAAUGAUUUAUGGGCAAGUAGAAUGCUUGAUUAGAGCUAAAAUAAUAACUUGGAUCUAGAAAACCAUCAAACACAUAAAACACCAUGAACCUCAUCUGAAUCAUUCUGUUUUUUUUUUUGAUGAGGCACACCCUUUUUACAGUCCUUUGCAUGCAACAUAUCAAAAACAGAUGAAAACCCAUUUGCCUUUGCAGCAUGCACAAGGAUCCCAGUAAGCUGAUAUCGUCUCGUCUUCCUAUAUUACCCAAUAAUAUACUCCUCAAAAAACAUCUAGAUCGCUAAAUUAAGAAAUUCUUGAAAUGGGUAUUCUCUGAUUUAAAACAAACAAACACUUCCCUGCAAUAACUACAAUUACAAAUGCCUCUGCAUUUGGGACAUUUGCUGGCAAUUCAUUGAUCUUUUUUGCAACACAGUGAGGUAAAAGACUUGGGGUGGGUGGAGUUGACUUGAGAAUAGUAUUCAAUAGUCAGUGUAGAUGUUGUGAACAACUAAACACUAUAAUUUUGUUAGGAACUUAGAAUAAAUUUAGCAUACCCACAAAUUACUCUUCUCAAGAUCUGCUAGUUUUCCAUCCCUGAAUUCUGAAUGAGAGAAUGAAUCUACUUAGUUCUGCCAAAUCCUUUUGCCAUUUGUAAAUAGAAUCUACUUAGUUCUGCCAACAUAUUUUCUAUCGUGUUGUUUCCGUUGUUGUCCUUGGAAAGUGGUCUGCCAAUGCUAAUCCAAUCAGGAUCCAGAAAUGUGAUUUGAAGAAACAAUUUAUAGUUUUUGACGAGUCUCCAUUUUAAGUAUAGCUGCCAAUAAAUGUAGUCAACCAACACUGUCUAAAUCCCCAUGCCGUAAAGACGUAUUCAGCAGAAGUCAGCGACUCGUAUUUUAAAUGUGAUGCAAUAAAAGCGUUGACCACUAGUUCAACAAACUAACACCCAUACAGAAAGAGCAACACAAAAGGUUUCUUAUUUAUCACCAUCAUCAUAAUCAUCUCUAUCCAAUAAUUGCAUUUUCAUACCGUUGAGAUCCUUAGUUACAGUUGGUGAAUGCCAGCCAUAUUCUUAGCUUUGUGGCCCAAGUUGAUUGUAUCUUUUUUAUCUCAUUAGCCUUGUUAGUGUUUUAUUUAAGUUCUUUUACCUAGCCUCGGGUUGUGAGGUCUAAUGCGAUUAGGUUAGGUAAUUGGUUUCCUAGUUUUAUCUACGUGCUCUAGUCCCAUCGGGAGAUGGGAUUGUGCUAUGAAUUGUAUUGUAAUAUCCAUUUUUUUGCAAUUUUAUAUACAAACAAAUUAGAAAAAAAUAAAAUAAAAUAAUAAAAUAAUUUUAUCCUUACUAAUUAUUCUACUUUGAUUUUCAGGGAGAUCCAAUUGAAGGUUACAAAAUCACACAUCAGAAAAAGCAAACAAACGAGUGGGUACAACUUGAAAAUGAUUCUGCAUACGUAUGUUAUACAAACCUUGCCUUUUUUUUAAAUUUGGAAUUAUCUUUGAAUUAUUUGCAUUUGUUGUUAAUUUCACAAAAUAAAAUGAAAACAUUUGAGACUGAAUGCAUCUCUGAGAUGGAAGCAGAAUCUGGAAAUGUUAAGAGUAAUGACAAAAGGGAGAUUAUGACUCGAGUGUUGGGCAAGAAGGCAGGGAGACUGUUUGGUUUUGGAUUCUUCAUUUAAUGAGAAAGAAAAAACUGCAUUGGUAGCAAAGUUAAAAGCGUCUCACACUAAGAAUGAAGAGCAUCAAUCACCCAUUCAGACACAAGACAAACAGAUUGACAAUCUUGAGAAUAUAAUAAACAAGUUGGUCGACGUCAAUCCAGAAUUUCUACGAUUGAUUCAAGGCAGCACCAGCUCAAGGACAGAAAGAACUGAAAACAACUCUCGAUCAUUAUUUAUGGACAUUCAAAAUUGUUGAACUUUUAUUGUGGACACUACAAAACUUGGAUAUUAAUGUUGAACUUUAUGUUAGACUUGGUAAAUCAUUAAUUUAAAGUACAAUGGAUGAUAUUUGGAUUUUGAUUUUCCUAUUUUGGUUAAAUAUGAUGGAAAGUUAAAAUUUAGUUAAUUUAUUAUUGCGGUUGGUGUUUUGCUAUUGUUAUAGUCCUUAACUUGUUUCAGGCCAAAUAUUA
This 4540-nucleotide long non-coding RNA is filed under the name Panax ginseng (ginseng). Its description in RNAcentral is "long non-coding RNA (PGIN_LNC017489)". Lineage: Eukaryota; Viridiplantae; Streptophyta; Magnoliopsida; Apiales; Araliaceae. The record is from RNAcentral.